This 103-nucleotide microRNA precursor is filed under the name Marmota monax (woodchuck). The record is from RNAcentral. Lineage: Eukaryota; Metazoa; Chordata; Mammalia; Rodentia; Sciuridae.
AGUGGGAUAGCUGGGUCAAAUGGUGGUUCCAUUACAAGUUUUUAAAGGAAUCUCCAUACUGAUUUACAGAUUGGUUUCUCCAAUUUGCAGUCCCACCAGCAAU